This 711-nucleotide ribosomal RNA is filed under the name Amycolatopsis sp. Its description in RNAcentral is "bacterial SSU rRNA". It matches the Rfam family "Bacterial small subunit ribosomal RNA", at positions 57 to 789 of the family's 1533-position model. Lineage: Bacteria; Bacillati; Actinomycetota; Actinomycetes; Pseudonocardiales; Pseudonocardiaceae. The record is from RNAcentral.
GCAGUCGACGAUGAAGCCUUCGGGUGGAUUAGUGGCGAACGGGUGAGUAACACGUGGGCAAUCUGCCCUGUACUUUGGGAUAAGCCUUGGAAACGGGGUCUAAUACCGGAUAUGACCGAGCCUCGCAUGGGGGUUGGUGGAAAGCUCCGGCGGUACAGGAUGAGCCCGCGGCCUAUCAGCUUGUUGGUGGGGUAAUGGCCUACCAAGGCGACGACGGGUAGCCGGCCUGAGAGGGUGACCGGCCACACUGGGACUGAGACACGGCCCAGACUCCUACGGGAGGCAGCAGUGGGGAAUAUUGCACAAUGGGCGCAAGCCUGAUGCAGCGACGCCGCGUGAGGGAUGACGGCCUUCGGGUUGUAAACCUCUUUCGCCAGGGACGAAGCGCAAGUGACGGUACCUGGAUAAGAAGCACCGGCUAACUACGUGCCAGCAGCCGCGGUAAUACGUAGGGUGCGAGCGUUGUCCGGAAUUAUUGGGCGUAAAGAGCUCGUAGGCGGUUUGUCGCGUCGUUCGUGAAAACUCCACGCUUAACGUGGAGCGUGCGGGCGAUACGGGCAGACUUGAGUUCGGUAGGGGAGACUGGAAUUCCUGGUGUAGCGGUGAAAUGCGCAGAUAUCAGGAGGAACACCGGUGGCGAAGGCGGGUCUCUGGGCCGAUACUGACGCUGAGGAGCGAAAGCGUGGGGAGCGAACAGGAUUAGAUACCCUG